RNAcentral lists this ribosomal RNA (305 nucleotides) under uncultured bacterium. RNAcentral describes it as "bacterial SSU rRNA". It matches the Rfam family "Bacterial small subunit ribosomal RNA", at positions 333 to 649 of the family's 1533-position model. The record is from RNAcentral.
UGUUCCCUACGGGAGGCAGCAGUGGGGAAUAUUGCACAAUGGGGGGAACCCUGAUGCAGCGACGCCGCGUGAGGGAAUGAAGGUCUUCGGAUUGUAAACCCCUGUCAUGUGGGAGCAAAUUAAAAAGAUAGUACCACAAGAGGAAGAGACGGCUAACUCUGUGCCAGCAGCCGCGGUAAUACAGAGGUCUCAAGCGUUGUUCGGAAUCACUGGGCGUAAAGCGUGCGUAGGCUGUUUCGUAAGUCGUGUGUGAAAGGCGCGGGCUCAACCCGCGGACGGCACAUGAUACGGCGAGACUAGAGUAA